This 292-nucleotide ribosomal RNA is filed under the name uncultured bacterium. RNAcentral describes it as "partial 16S ribosomal RNA". It matches the Rfam family "Bacterial small subunit ribosomal RNA", at positions 505 to 796 of the family's 1533-position model. The record is from RNAcentral.
GUGUCAGCAGCCGCGGUAAUACGUAGGGGGCAAGCGUUGUCCGGAAUUACUGGGCGUAAAGCGCGUGUAGGCGGGACGGUAAGUCGGACGUGAAAGGCUCGGGCUCAACCCGAGAAGGCCGUUCGAAACUGCCGUUCUUGAGGGUCGAAGAGGAGAGUGGAAUUCCUGGUGUAGCGGUGAAAUGCGUAGAGAUCAGGAGGAACACCCGUGGCGAAGGCGGCUCUCUGGUCGGCCUCUGACGCUGAGACGCGAAAGCGUGGGGAGCGAACGGGAUUAGAUACCCCCGUAGUCC